AUUGAACGCUGGCGGCAUGCCUUACACAUGCAAGUCGAACGGCAGCAUGGAAGAGCUUGCUCUUCUGAUGGCGAGUGGCGAACGGGUGAGUAAAGCAUCGGAACGUACCGUGUAGUGGGGGAUAACGUAGCGAAAGUUACGCUAAUACCGCAUACGCACUGAGGUGGAAAGCAGGGGAUCGCAAGACCUUGCGCUAUACGAGCGGCCGAUGUCAGAUUAGCUAGUUGGUAGGGUAAAGGCCUACCAAGGCGACGAUCUGUAGCGGGUCUGAGAGGAUGAUCCGCCACACUGGGACUGAGACACGGCCCAGACUCCUACGGGAGGCAGCAGUGGGGAAUUUUGGACAAUGGGCGAAAGCCUGAUCCAGCCAUGCCGCGUGAGUGAAGAAGGCCUCGGUGUAAGCUCUUCGUCUGGAGAAUACGCACAGCUAAUACUCUGUGUGGAGUGACGGUACCACGCACAAG
This 464-nucleotide ribosomal RNA is filed under the name uncultured bacterium. RNAcentral's name for it is "bacterial SSU rRNA". It matches the Rfam family "Bacterial small subunit ribosomal RNA", at positions 30 to 490 of the family's 1533-position model. The record is from RNAcentral.